Molecule: RNA transcript, 1905 nt
Organism: Miniopterus natalensis
Lineage: Eukaryota; Metazoa; Chordata; Mammalia; Chiroptera; Miniopteridae
Gene: C12H9orf40
Gene name: chromosome 12 C9orf40 homolog
Source: RefSeq, a predicted model, not a curated record
GGUGGGUGGGGUCACCGUUUGCGCAGGUACUUGGAGCCCUGGGAAGGAACAGAUCGUCCCCCUCUAGACUCCUAUUCAUCAAGACGCCCCAAAAGGCGAAAAGCUGGGGUCCCUGCUGCAGGAACGGACGCCCACCUCCCGGCAACAGCGAGGGCCCCGAGCCCACCUUGGCAGCGUUUGGGGAGAGCCCGACGGGCUGAGAGCGCUCGGACAAACCAGGGGAAACAGCCGUCGGGUGAGCUCAAUGAAGAAUUUUGGCAGUAUAACACCUUCCAGUACUGGAGGAAUCCUUUACCACCGAUUGAUCUGGCAGACAUUGAAGCUAUAAGUGAAGAUAACCUUACAGAAGCAAGGCUUCAGGGCAAGAAUGAAGUGGUUGAGAUUGACAUGGAGUCCUGACAGAGGAGCUGAAGAAAUAGGUUUUUCUGAAUUUGAAAUUCUAAAUGAAUUUAUGUAUUCUUAGGAAAAAAGUUAUUUUCCAUAUUUUAUGUGAUUUCAUUCCCAAACCUGAAAAAUGAGGAAAAGUUGUUUUAAAGAUAAAUGCCUGCGGUCACUACUGAAACUCCCAAUAGGAUUUGUCAAUAAUAGACUGCAGUUAUAGGGGAAGUGUUUUAUGUAUAUGUUCUUAAAGAAAAAUUUAUGUUUAGGUUCUAAAUUUGAAGAUGUCAAUAUUAUAAAUAGGAAUUCUGACAGUUUAAGAAAUUGGAAACACUCAAAUAGCCCUCUGCAACAAAAUGUUAAUUUGUGGCACAUGAAAUGAAUGUUUUAUAAUAACUUAAUAAAAUGCUUUUUAAUAUACUUUAUUGACUCUUCCUAGUUGAACAAAUAGCCGACCUAAACAUCUAUGCAAACUUAAAAUGUGGGGGAUUUUUCUGAAAGCUGGUGUUGAUUUAAAACAGCUGUCUUUAAAAAAGAGCUUUCUAAAUGUAAAGUAGUGAGAAUUUCAAUGUGGAUAGCAUGUUUGCAUUAACUUCUAAUAUUUGAUGUUUGUUAAACUCUACUUUGAACUAUCAAAAAUGGAUGAAGAAAUGAGAAAUGAGCAGGUGCUUCCCUCCCCGCUUUCCCAAGAUAAAUGAAAGAAAUUCAUUGUAUUUCUUUUUUUAAAAAUGUCUUAGUUUUGAAUUGCCUUGAGGGCAUGGUUUUUAUUAAAUUGUUCUUAUGUGGCCCUUACAUGUAGCUGUUUUUUUAAAGCACCAAUUCUUCUUCCUCCCUGCAUUCCAGACAGGUUUGAGGACCACUAACUAAAGGUAGUUUUUCCUGUUGAAAGGAAAUAACUAAUUUGAGCUGAAGCAAUGCCUCUUAAUUAGCUUUGUUUUUAUUUUACCCUAUUGAUGGCUUUGUUACAACGAAAUUAUUCUGUAGUUACUAUUACAUUGUUAAAGUAAGCAGUUUGUGUUUGAGUUAUAUGAAUAUCAGUGAUUAAGUUAAUUAACUUGUAUUGUAUUCUAGAAUGUUGGCUUUUUAAUUGAGUAAGUUGUCCUUGUAUAUUUUUUGUUAAUGAUAUUCAAAAUUCAGGAAGGAUGAUAAAUGCCAGUGAGAGGGAAAAAGAACGUUUCGUGUGUACUGUAGGAUUUAAAUAUGGUUGACGUUAAUAAGAAUUUUAUAGAACAGAAGGCAAACUGUAUAGUAUUGUGGUUAAGAGUUAAGACUUUGGAGUCAGACAUGGUUCAAAGUCUUGUACUGCCACUUUCUACCUGUGUAACAUUAAGCAGGUUAUUUUUCAUCUCUAAACCCCAGCUUCCUUGGUUGUAAAAUAAGAAACAAUAAAUAGUAUCUACCUCAGAGACACUAUGUUUAUUGUCAAAUGAUGUACUGAGUACUUUACCUGCAUCAUCUUGUUUAAUUUCAUAAUAUUCUUGUUGUAGGUACAAAAAAAAAAUUAGAAUAAAUGUGCUUUCUAUAGUU